Molecule: ribosomal RNA, 556 nt
Filed under: uncultured Halococcus sp.
Lineage: Archaea; Methanobacteriati; Methanobacteriota; Halobacteria; Halobacteriales; Halococcaceae
Description: bacterial SSU rRNA
Rfam family: Archaeal small subunit ribosomal RNA
Source: RNAcentral
ACGGGGAGCAGCAGGCGCGAAACCUUUACACUGCACGACAGUGCGAUAAGGGGAUCCCGAGUGCGAGGGCAUACAGUCCUCGCUUUUCGUGACCGUAAGGUGGUCUCAGAAUAAGGGCUGGGCAAGACCGGUGCCGGCCGCCGCGGUAAUACCGGCAGCCCGAGUGAUAGCCACUCUUAUUGGGCCUAAAGCGUCCGUAGCUGGCCGAACGGGUCCGUCGGGAAAUCCACCCGCUCAACGGGUGGGCGUCCGGCGGAAACCAGUCGGCUUGGGACCGGGGGACCUGCGGGGUACGUCUGGGGUAGGAGUGAAAUCCUGUAAUCCCAGACGGACCACCGGUGGCGAAAGCGCCGCAGGAGGACGGAUCCGACAGUGAGGGACGAAAGCUUGGGUCUCGAACCGGAUUAGAUACCCGGGUAGUCCAAGCCGUAAACGAUGCUCGCUAGGUGUGGCGCAGGCUACGAGCCUGACGCUGUGCCGUAGGGAAGCCGAGAAGCGAGCCGCCUGGGAAGUACKUCCGCAAGGAUGAAACUUAAAGGAAUUGGCGGGGGAGCAC